UGGGGAAUUUUGGACAAUGGGGGAAACCCUCAUCCAGCCAUCCCGCGUGUGCGAUGAAGGCCUUCGGGUUGUAAAGCACUUUUGGCAGGAAAGAAACGUCAUGGGUUAAUACCCCGUGAAACUGACGGUACCUGCAGAAUAAGCACCGGCUAACUACGUGCCAGCAGCCGCGGUAAUACGUAGGGUGCAAGCGUUAAUCGGAAUUACUGGGCGUAAAGCGUGCGCAGGCGGUUCGGAAAGAAAGAUGUGAAAUCCCAGAGCUCAACUUUGGAACUGCAUUUUUAACUACCGGGCUAGGGUGUGUCAGAGGGAGGUGGAAUUCCGCGUGUAGCAGUGAAAUGCGUAGAUAUGCGGAGGAACACCGAUGGCGAAGGCAGCCUCCUGGGAUAACACUGACGCUCAUGCACGAAAGCGUGGGGAGCAAACAGG
Molecule: ribosomal RNA, 429 nt
Filed under: Acidobacteriota bacterium
Lineage: Bacteria; Pseudomonadati; Acidobacteriota
Description: Acidobacteria bacterium partial 16S ribosomal RNA
Rfam family: Bacterial small subunit ribosomal RNA
Source: RNAcentral